Molecule: ribosomal RNA, 465 nt
Filed under: uncultured bacterium
Lineage: Bacteria
Description: partial 16S ribosomal RNA
Rfam family: Bacterial small subunit ribosomal RNA
Source: RNAcentral
GACGAACGCUGGCGGCGUGCUUAACACAUGCAAGUCGAACGGAAAGGCCCUGCUUGCCGGGUACUCGAGUGGCGAACGGGUGAGUAACACGUGGGUGAUCUGCCCUGCACUUCGGGAUAAGCCUGGGAAACUGGGUCUAAUACCGGAUAGGAGCCAUUUUUAGUGUGAUGGUUGGAAAGUUUUUUCGGUGUAGGAUGAGCUCGCGGCCUAUCAGCUUGUUGGUGGGGUAAUGGCCUACCAAGGCGGCGACGGGUAGCCGGCCUGAGAGGGUGGACGGCCACAUUGGGACUGAGAGACGGCCCAGACUCCUACGGGAGGCAGCAGUGGGGAAUAUUGCACAAUGGGCGCAAGCCUGAUGCAGCGACGCCGCGUGGGGGAUGACGGCCUUCGGGUUGUAAACUCCUUUCGCUAGGGACGAAGCCUUUUGUGACGGUACCUAGAGAAGAAGCACCGGCUAACUACGUG